AAUUUGGGCAGGGAGAGGGAUAAGAAAGCCCAAAGGAAAAGUGUUCUGUGACCAAACAGGCGACAUGCUUUGAGGGGUGUGCAUCAGAGCCAAGCCACCAUGGAGCCAUUCACUUUUCUGAUGGCUUAAGCGCUCCCAAAAUAGCUGUUCCCAUUUGGAGUGGAACUUAGCAGCUGGGACAGGUGCAGAGCCUCUGAGAGCAGAGGCUCCAUGAAGCGAUUUCAGGAUCCCACACAGCUCUUCCUAAACCUGAGCUGCACUGCCUAACGGGCAUCAGCUCUGUGGCUUUGCCUGUGCCCUGGGCCAGGACCUGGAACUGUUAAAAAGAAGCAAGCAGCAAAUGCAGACUAUGGUCAGCUUUGGGGGUGCUUACAUUUGGGGCAUGGAUGUAGGGAGAAUUGUCCAGGUGACUGGACCUCAUCGGGCCGGGCUGUACAUACCGCCCCAGACUCUCGAAAGCUCUUGCUUAUCCCACUAUGCAGAUUUCUCAGCUUUGCGUGACAGCAUAAAGUGGACCUUGAACGCAGUGGUUUGCGAACUACAGGAAACCUGCGGCCCCACACCUGGCGCAGCAGCAGGCAGGGCUGGUAUUGGACAACCAGUUGGGGAGCGAGGCAACCUGUUUUGUUUUGCUGCCUCUUUGGACCGAGGGAGGCUGGAGAAGGGCAGCUACACAGAAGCAAGGGUGACUUCAGGUGGAAGAGGAGGAGGAAAUACCUUACAGCUGAAAAAGAGCAUCAGGGCCCCUCCUUUUAUAUCGCGGCUCCCAUAUAAAGCAUAGAAAACCUGGUUGCUGCAGACAAAACAGACUUCAGGUUGAUCCAGACCUAAGUUUUUUGGCCUCAAUAUUUUUUUUUAAUAAGCAAAUAUUUACACAAAUUUUAGAAACAACCAUUUCUACAAAUGUCACAUCUGUCCUUGGACAUAAUACUCAUAAUUUGCUUUCAGAACAAACUCAAAGUAAGAGUUGGACUUGAGGCUUCCCAGCUGCUCUGCUCGCAGUAGGUCCGUCACCUCUGGCAAGUACUCGCUGAGCUGGAUGCCUGCAAACAGAAGACACGGUCACUUCUGACGGCUGAAACUCCUCCGCACAUGAGCAGUACAGCAGCCAGUACUGCUAAGUCACUGAGCGAACAUGCCCACACUGCAGCCUCCUCCCAUUCAGAGCCCUCAGGGGAAUGGCAGCCUCUUCAGAGCCUCAGAGCCCUGCAGGUUCCUAUUGGUCAGAGCAGAUGCUCCAGAGGAAAUCUUCAGUAGAAUCUGAAAUUUUUUUUUCCCUACAGUUUAAGACAUUUCUUCAAUGUGUAAGUUUUCAACUAAUAGUCAUUUCUAUGUUGCCCUAAUGGGGGAAUAAUUUAAUAGAAACACUGUCACAAAGCUGGCCACAGGACUGCAAGGGUGUUAAAACUUAACCAGGGUGCCUGUCCUUCCAGCACUCGGGAUGCUGAAGGAGAAGGGUGCCUUGAACCUGACAGCCAGCCAAGAGCAGCCUGGGCAGCACAGGAAGCCUUUGUCCCAAAGAAAUGAACACACGGGCUGGAGAGAUGGCUCAGUGGUUAAGAGCACUGACUGCUCUUCCAAAGGUCCUGAGUUCAAAUCCCAGCAACCACUUGGUGGCUCACAACCAUCUGUAAUGAGAUCUGAUGCCCUCUUCUGGGGUGUCUGAAGACAGCUACAGUGUACUUAUAUACAAUAAAUAAAUUAAAAAAAAAAAGAAUUUUUUAAAAAAAGAAAAGAAAUGAACACACACACACACACACACACACACACACACACACACACACACUGAGGUCAGGCACCAGGACAUAGGGAUCAGUAGACAGGAAACAGCCACCAGGGGACGAUUGAGUCACACGAUCACAACACUGACAAAGACAAUGGACAAGGCUUGAAAUGAGCAGCGCCACAUCACUUGUUACAUUGCUAUCAGGCUCUCUUUACUGUUGGUUUGGUUCUUUGAGGCAGGGUUUCUCUGUGUAGACCUGGCUGUCCUGGACCUGCUUUGUAGACCAUGCUGGACUUGUGCUCACAGACUGCAUCUACCUCCGGAGUGCUGCGAUUGAAGGCGUGUACCACCAUGCCAGGUAUGAAUGUCCACUACACAUGUGCCUGCAGCCUGUAAAGGCAAGGACUUCAGAGUCCCUGAGACUGGAGCUACAGAUAGCUGUGAGUUACCCUGUGGGGGCUGGGAGAGAACAAGAGUUCUUAGCUAAAGAACCAAGUCACCAGCCCUGUUCCAUGUAAUCUUAGUGUGUGUGGACUGUGGUGGGGAUUGAACGCAAGCCCUCAGGUCUGGUGUCUCUACUUGCUGAGGUAGCCCAGCAGCCCUUGCCCUUUUCACACACCAUGCUGUGACUAUGGAGGCCAGAGUGGGUGCUGCUUACUAAGGAACUGGAGGUUCAGGAGCUGUGGGCCGCCUGGCCUGGGUCCUCUGAAGAGCAGGAAGUACUGUUAACUACCAAGCCGUUUCUCCAGCCCUCUCGUCAUUUAUUCUUGAGCAGCUCAAGAAAGAAUACACCAAAAAGUCUGCCUCUCAGAGGAGAUAAUUACUUCAGUCACAGCCUUGUGCUGUCACAGCCAGAGUCUGUGUCCUGGGGUGGAGGACUUCACCUGAACCUUGUUAGCCCUGGGUCUCCAGGGCCAAGAGCACAGCAGCAGCUUCACUGAGAGCAACGCUAAUCUGCACAUCAUCUCAAGCCAUCUGAGGCCCUGGCACAGGUUGUGUUGGCAACACACAAUUCCCACGAUGUCCAAAAUCAGCUAGCAAUAUUCUCUGUGUAACAGCUUAAGUUGUCCUGGAACUCACUCUGUAGACCAGGCUGGUCUCAAACUCAGAGAUCUGCUGCCUCUGCCUCUUGAGUGCUGGGAUUAAAGAUGUGUGCCACCAAGCCCGGCUGCAACAUUUAUCUCUAAUAGUCAAUAAACCACUUACCGUCUUUUA
This is a long non-coding RNA of Mus musculus (house mouse), 2941 nucleotides long. RefSeq annotates it as predicted gene, 29773. The transcript is spliced from 3 exons. The record is from RefSeq and is a predicted model, not a curated record. NCBI's taxonomy places the organism in Eukaryota, Metazoa, Chordata, Mammalia, Rodentia, Muridae.